UAAGCGGAGGAAAAGAAACCAACAGGGAUUGCCCUAGUAACGGCGAGUGAAGCGGCAACAGCUCAAAUUUGAAAUCUGGCUCUUUUAGAGUCCGAGUUGUAAUUUGCAGAGGGCGCUUUGGCUUUGGCAGCGGUCCAAGUUCCUUGGAACAGGACGUCACAGAGGGUGAGAAUCCCGUACGUGGUCGCUGGCUAUUGCCGUGUAAAGCCCCUUCGACGAGUCGAGUUGUUUGGGAAUGCAGCUCUAAAUGGGAGGUACAUUUCUUCUAAAGCUAAAUAUUGGCCAGAGACCGAUAGCGCACAAGUAGAGUGAUCGAAAGAUGAAAAGCACUUUGGAAAGAGAGUCAAACAGCACGUGAAAUUGUUGAAAGGGAAGCGCUUGCAGCCAGACUUGCUUACAGUUGCUCAUCCGGGUUUCUACCCGGUGCACUCUUCUGUAGGCAGGCCAGCAUCAGUUUGGGCGGUAGGAUAAAGGUCUCUGUCACGUACCUCCUUUCGGGGAGGCCUUAUAGGGGAGACGACAUACUACCAGCCUGGACUGAGGUCCGCGCAUCUGCUAGGAUGCUGGCGUAAUGGCUGUAAGCGGCCCGUCUUGAAACACGGACCAAGGAGUCUAACAUCUAUGCGAGUGUUUGGGUGUCAAGCCCGAGCGCGUAAUGAAAGUGAACGGAGGUGGGAACCCGCAAGGGUGCACCAUCGACCGAUCCUGAUGUCUUCGGAAGGAUUUGAGUAAGAGCAUGGCUGUUGGGACCCGAAAGAUGGUGAACUAUGCUUGAAUAGGGUGAAGCCAGAGGAAACUCUGGUGGAGGCUCGCAGCGGUUCUGACGUGCAAAUCGAUCGUCAAAUUUGGGCAUAGGGGCGAAAGACUAAUCGAACUAUCUAGUAGCUGGUUCCUGCCGAAUUU
RNAcentral lists this ribosomal RNA (903 nucleotides) under Alternaria alternata. Its description in RNAcentral is "partial large subunit ribosomal RNA". It matches the Rfam family "Eukaryotic large subunit ribosomal RNA", at positions 47 to 968 of the family's 3401-position model. The record is from RNAcentral. Lineage: Eukaryota; Fungi; Ascomycota; Dothideomycetes; Pleosporales; Pleosporaceae.